This 274-nucleotide ribosomal RNA is filed under the name uncultured bacterium. RNAcentral describes it as "partial 16S ribosomal RNA". It matches the Rfam family "Bacterial small subunit ribosomal RNA", at positions 523 to 796 of the family's 1533-position model. The record is from RNAcentral.
AUACGGAGGGUGCGAGCGUUAAUCGGAAUUACUGGGCGUAAAGCGUACGUAGGCGGUUGGUUAAGUUAGAUGUGAAAGCCCCGGGCUUAACCUGGGAACCGCAUUUAAAACUGGCGAACUAGAGUUGAGUAGAGGGGAGUGGAAUUUCAGGUGUAGCGGUGAAAUGCGUAGAGAUCUGAAGGAACACCAGUGGCGAAGGCGACUCCCUGGACUCGAACUGACGCUGAGGUACGAAAGCGUGGGUAGCAAACGGGAUUAGAAACCCUUGUAGUCC